GGUUAAGCGACUAAGCGUACACGGUGGAUGCCCUGGCAGUCAGAGGCGAUGAAGGACGUGCUAAUCUGCGAUAAGCGUCGGUAAGGUGAUAUGAACCGUUAUAACCGGCGAUUUCCGAAUGGGGAAACCCAGUGUGUUUCGACACACUAUCAUUAACUGAAUCCAUAGGUUAAUGAGGCGAACCGGGGGAACUGAAACAUCUAAGUACCCCGAGGAAAAGAAAUCAACCGAGAUUCCCCCAGUAGCGGCGAGCGAACGGGGAGCAGCCCAGAGCCUGAAUCAGUGUGUGUGUUAGUGGAAGCGUCUGGAAAGGCGCGCGAUACAGGGUGACAGCCCCGUACACAAAAAUGCACAUGCUGUGAGCUCGAUGAGUAGGGCGGGACACGUGGUAUCCUGUCUGAAUAUGGGGGGACCAUCCUCCAAGGCUAAAUACUCCUGACUGACCGAUAGUGAACCAGUACCGUGAGGGAAAGGCGAAAAGAACCCCGGCGAGGGGAGUGAAAAAGAACCUGAAACCGUGUACGUACAAGCAGUGGGAGCACGCUUAGGCGUGUGACUGCGUACCUUUUGUAUAAUGGGUCAGCGACUUAUAUUGUGUAGCAAGGUUAACCGAAUAGGGGAGCCGAAGGGAAACCGAGUCUUAACUGGGCGUUAAGUUGCAGGGUAUAGACCCGAAACCCGGUGAUCUAGCCAUGGGCAGGUUGAAGGUUGGGUAACACUAACUGGAGGACCGAACCGACUAAUGUUGAAAAAUUAGCGGAUGACUUGUGGCUGGGGGUGAAAGGCCAAUCAAACCGGGAGAUAGCUGGUUCUCCCCGAAAGCUAUUUAGGUAGCGCCUCGUGAAUUCAUCUCCGGGGGUAGAGCACUGUUUCGGCAAGGGGGUCAUCCCGACUUACCAACCCGAUGCAAACUGCGAAUACCGGAGAAUGUUAUCACGGGAGACACACGGCGGGUGCUAACGUCCGUCGUGAAGAGGGAAACAACCCAGACCGCCAGCUAAGGUCCCAAAGUCAUGGUUAAGUGGGAAACGAUGUGGGAAGGCCCAGACAGCCAGGAUGUUGGCUUAGAAGCAGCCAUCAUUUAAAGAAAGCGUAAUAGCUCACUGGUCGAGUCGGCCUGCGCGGAAGAUGUAACGGGGCUAAACCAUGCACCGAAGCUGCGGCAGCGACGCUUAUGCGUUGUUGGGUAGGGGAGCGUUCUGUAAGCCUGUGAAGGUGUGCUGUGAGGCAUGCUGGAGGUAUCAGAAGUGCGAAUGCUGACAUAAGUAACGAUAAAGCGGGUGAAAAGCCCGCUCGCCGGAAGACCAAGGGUUCCUGUCCAACGUUAAUCGGGGCAGGGUGAGUCGACCCCUAAGGCGAGGCCGAAAGGCGUAGUCGAUGGGAAACAGGUUAAUAUUCCUGUACUUGGUGUUACUGCGAAGGGGGGACGGAGAAGGCUAUGUUGGCCGGGCGACGGUUGUCCCGGUUUAAGCGUGUAGGCUGGUUUUCCAGGCAAAUCCGGAAAAUCAAGGCUGAGGCGUGAUGACGAGGCACUACGGUGCUGAAGCAACAAAUGCCCUGCUUCCAGGAAAAGCCUCUAAGCAUCAGGUAACAUCAAAUCGUACCCCAAACCGACACAGGUGGUCAGGUAGAGAAUACCAAGGCGCUUGAGAGAACUCGGGUGAAGGAACUAGGCAAAAUGGUGCCGUAACUUCGGGAGAAGGCACGCUGAUAUGUAGGUGAAGUCCCUCGCGGAUGGAGCUGAAAUCAGUCGAAGAUACCAGCUGGCUGCAACUGUUUAUUAAAAACACAGCACUGUGCAAACACGAAAGUGGACGUAUACGGUGUGACGCCUGCCCGGUGCCGGAAGGUUAAUUGAUGGGGUCAGCGCAAGCGAAGCUCUUGAUCGAAGCCCCGGUAAACGGCGGCCGUAACUAUAACGGUCCUAAGGUAGCGAAAUUCCUUGUCGGGUAAGUUCCGACCUGCACGAAUGGCGUAAUGAUGGCCAGGCUGUCUCCACCCGAGACUCAGUGAAAUUGAACUCGCUGUGAAGAUGCAGUGUACCCGCGGCAAGACGGAAAGACCCCGUGAACCUUUACUAUAGCUUGACACUGAACAUUGAGCCUUGAUGUGUAGGAUAGGUGGGAGGCUUGGAAGUGUGGACGCCAGUCUGCAUGGAGCCGACCUUGAAAUACCACCCUUUAAUGUUUGAUGUUCUAACGUUGACCCGUAAUCCGGGUUGCGGACAGUGUCUGGUGGGUAGUUUGACUGGGGCGGUCUCCUCCUAAAGAGUAACGGAGGAGCACGAAGGUUGGCUAAUCCUGGUCGGACAUCAGGAGGUUAGUGCAAUGGCAUAAGCCAGCUUGACUGCGAGCGUGACGGCGCGAGCAGGUGCGAAAGCAGGUCAUAGUGAUCCGGUGGUUCUGAAUGGAAGGGCCAUCGCUCAACGGAUAAAAGGUACUCCGGGGAUAACAGGCUGAUACCGCCCAAGAGUUCAUAUCGACGGCGGUGUUUGGCACCUCGAUGUCGGCUCAUCACAUCCUGGGGCUGAAGUAGGUCCCAAGGGUAUGGCUGUUCGCCAUUUAAAGUGGUACGCGAGCUGGGUUUAGAACGUCGUGAGACAGUUCGGUCCCUAUCUGCCGUGGGCGCUGGAGAACUGAGGGGGGCUGCUCCUAGUACGAGAGGACCGGAGUGGACGCAUCACUGGUGUUCGGGUUGUCAUGCCAAUGGCACUGCCCGGUAGCUAAAUGCGGAAGAGAUAAGUGCUGAAAGCAUCUAAGCACGAAACUUGCCCCGAGAUGAGUUCUCCCUGACUCCUUGAGAGUCCUGAAGGAACGUUGAAGACGACGACGUUGAUAGGCCGGGUGUGUAAGCGCAGCGAUGCGUUGAGCUAACCGGUACUAAUGAACCGUGAGGCUUAACCUU
RNAcentral lists this ribosomal RNA (2904 nucleotides) under Escherichia coli. RNAcentral's name for it is "23S ribosomal RNA". It matches the Rfam family "Bacterial large subunit ribosomal RNA". Lineage: Bacteria; Pseudomonadati; Pseudomonadota; Gammaproteobacteria; Enterobacterales; Enterobacteriaceae. The record is from RNAcentral.